This 497-nucleotide ribosomal RNA is filed under the name uncultured bacterium. RNAcentral describes it as "partial 16S ribosomal RNA". It matches the Rfam family "Bacterial small subunit ribosomal RNA", at positions 28 to 507 of the family's 1533-position model. The record is from RNAcentral.
GAUGAACGCUGGCGGCGUGCCUAAUACAUGCAAGUCGAGCGAACAGACGAGACGCUUGCUCCUCAGACGUUAGCGGCGGACGGGUGAGUAACACGUGGAUAACCUACCUAUAAGACUGGGAUAACUUCGGGAAACCUGAGCUAAUACCGGAUAAUAUAUUGAAACGCAUUGUUCAAUAGUGAAAGACGGAUUUGCUCUCUCUUAUAACUAGAUCCCGGCCGAAUUUGCUAUUUGGUAAGGUAACGGUUAACCACGCCAACGGUGCGUAGCGGACCUGAGAGGGGGACCGGCCAAACGGGACCGGAGAACCGGUCAGGCCUCCUACGGGGGGCAGCAGUGGGGAUUCUUCCGCAAUGGGCGAAGGCCUGACGGAGCAACGCCGCGUGGUUGAUGAAGGUCUUCGGACCGUAAAACUCGGUUAUUGGGGAAGAAGAAAUGUGUAAGUAACUAUGCACGUCUUGACGGUACCUAAUCAGAAAGCCACGGCUAACUACGUG